Molecule: ribosomal RNA, 562 nt
Filed under: uncultured Spiroplasma sp.
Lineage: Bacteria; Bacillati; Mycoplasmatota; Mollicutes; Entomoplasmatales; Spiroplasmataceae
Description: bacterial SSU rRNA
Rfam family: Bacterial small subunit ribosomal RNA
Source: RNAcentral
GGGGAAUAACUGUUGGAAACGACAGCUAAUACCGCAUAAUAUUGCUGGAUAAUUUCCAGUAAUGAAAGGAGCUUUCAAGCUCCGCUGAUUGAUGAGGAUGCGGCGCAUUAGCUAGUUGGUAGGGUAAUGGCCUACCAAGGCAAUGAUGCGUAGCCGAUCUGAGAGGAUGAACGGCCACAUUGGGACUGAGACACGGCCCAAACUUCUACGGAAGGCAGCAGUAGGGAAUUUUUCACAAUGGGCGAAAGCCUGAUGGAGCAAUGCCGCGUGACUGAUGAAGGUCUUCGGAUUGUAAAGGUCUGUUGUAAGGGAAGAAAUGGUAAAACAGGAAAUGGUUUUAUCUAUGACGGUACCUUACCAGAAAGCCACGGCUAACUAUGUGCCAGCAGCCGCGGUAAUACAUAGGUGGCAAGCGUUAUCCGGAUUUAUUGGGCGUAAAGGGUGCGUAGACGGUUUUGCAAGUCUGANGUUAAAUUUAGGAGCUCAACUCCUAAUCGCCUUGGAAACUACAAGACUAGAGUAUANGAGAGGUUAGUGGAAUUCCAUGUGUAGCGGUGGAAUG